UCCCGCUUGACGCGGGCAGUCUCCCUAGAGUGCCCAACUUAAUGCUGGCAACUAAAGACAAGGGUUGCGCUCGUUAUGGGACUUAACCCGACAUCUCACGACACGAGCUGACGACAGCCAUGCAGCACCUGAUACUAGUGUCCCGAAGGCCUACAAUAUCUCUACUGUAUUCACUAGCACUUCAAACCCAGGUAAGGUUUUUCGCGUUGCAUCGAAUUGAACCACAUGCUCCACCGCUUGUGCGGGCCCCCGUCAAUUUCUUUGAGUUUUAAUCUUGCGACCGUACUUCCCAGGCGGAACACUUAACGCGUUAGCUUCGGCACUAGAGGGGUCAAUACCUCUAACACCAAGUGUUCAUCGUUUACGGCGUGGACUAC
This 377-nucleotide unclassified non-coding RNA is filed under the name uncultured Pseudobdellovibrionaceae bacterium. Its description in RNAcentral is "uncultured Bdellovibrionaceae bacterium contains 16S-23S intergenic spacer region". The record is from RNAcentral. Lineage: Bacteria; Pseudomonadati; Bdellovibrionota; Bdellovibrionia; Bdellovibrionales; Pseudobdellovibrionaceae.